This 214-nucleotide unclassified non-coding RNA is filed under the name Hevea brasiliensis (rubber tree). Lineage: Eukaryota; Viridiplantae; Streptophyta; Magnoliopsida; Malpighiales; Euphorbiaceae. The record is from RNAcentral.
AAAUUAACGGAUCUUUGGUUCCAUCAAAAGUUGUGAAAUCCAGCUUAGUGUACCGUGUAACAACUCCUGUUACGGGUCGCCCUUCUACUCUUUCUUUGGUUCUGUUAAGCAUGUGAUUAUUGCUAUUGCCCAUUCCUCCAUUGGAUUCUCUUCCUCGGCUUCUACUAGUACCAUUAAGAAUUUCCUUAAAUUGUUGAGAUAAAAGCUGUAAUUG